This 314-nucleotide ribosomal RNA is filed under the name uncultured Sphingomonadaceae bacterium. RNAcentral describes it as "bacterial SSU rRNA". It matches the Rfam family "Bacterial small subunit ribosomal RNA", at positions 23 to 365 of the family's 1533-position model. Lineage: Bacteria; Pseudomonadati; Pseudomonadota; Alphaproteobacteria; Sphingomonadales; Sphingomonadaceae. The record is from RNAcentral.
CUCAGAACGAACGCUGGCGGCAUGCCUAACACAUGCAAGUCGAACGAAGGCUUCGGCCUUAGUGGCGCACGGGUGCGUAACGCGUGGGAAUCUGGCCUUGGGUUCGGAAUAACAGCGGGAAACUGCUGCUAACACCGGAUGAAGACGAAAGUCCAAAGAUUUAUCGCCUGAGGAUGAGCCCGCGUUGGAUUAGGUAGUUGGUGGGGUAAAGGCCUACCAAGCCGACGAUCCAUAGCUGGUCUGAGAGGAUGAUCAGCCACACUGGGACUGAGACACGGCCCAGACUCCUACGGGAGGCAGCAGAAGGGCGAAUU